Molecule: ribosomal RNA, 975 nt
Filed under: uncultured bacterium
Lineage: Bacteria
Description: bacterial SSU rRNA
Rfam family: Bacterial small subunit ribosomal RNA
Source: RNAcentral
AGAGUUUGAUCAUGGCUCAGGACGAACGCUGGCGGCGUGGAUUAGGCAUGCAAGUCGAACGGUAGUAUCCUUUCGGGGAUAUGAGAGUGGCGAACGGGUGAGUAACACGUAGGUAAUCUACCCUCAAAUCGGGGACAACCCAGGGAAACUUGGGCUAAUACCGGAUGAGUGCAGCACCUUGAUUUUCCGGUGGGCGGUGAAUGGUUAAAUCUAUUUACCGGACAUUGGGAAAUGAAGGUGCUGUAUAAAAGAUGGCGUAAGCUGUCGUUUGAGGAUGAGCCUGCGCUCUAUUAGUUAGUUGGUGGGGUAAUGGCCUACCAAGGCGAUGAUAGAUAGGCGGCCUUAACGGGUGGCCGCCCACACUGGGAUUGAGAUACGGCCCAGACUCCUACGGGAGGCAGCAGUCGAGAAUAGUCUACAAUGGACGAAAGUCUGAUAGUGCGACGCCGCGUGAACGAAGAAUCCCUUCGGGGUGUAAAGUUCUUUUAUAUGUGAGCAAUGCUUUUUAUGUGAAUAGCAUGAGAAGAGAGAUAUUAGCAUAUGAAUAAGCAACGGCUAACUCCGUGCCAGCAGCCGCGGUAACACGGGGGUUGCAAGCGUUGUCCGGAAUUACUAGGCGUAAAGGGCAGGUAGGCGGAUCCAUAAGUUUGAUGUUAAAGGCAGCGGCUCACCCGCUGUAGGGCAUUAGAUACUGUGGAUCUGGAAUACGGUUGGGGAAGACAGAAUUCCUGGUGUAGCGGUGGAAUGCGCAGAGAUCAGGAGGAAUACCAAAGGCGAAGGCAGUCUUCUAAGCCGUUAUUGACGCUAAACUGCGAAGGUGUGGGUAUCAAACAGGAUUAGAUACCCUGGUAGUCCACACAGUAAACGAUAAUCACUAGGUGUCGGGUUCGAAGAGGAUUCGGUGCCGUAGCUAACGCGAUAAGUGAUUCGCCUGGGGAGUACGAUCGCAAGGUUGAAACUCAAAUGAAUUGACGG